UACGUAGGGGGCAAGCGUUAUCCGGAAUUACUGGGUGUAAAGGGAGCGUAGACGGCUGUGCAAGUCUGGAGUGAAAGGCGGGGGCCCAACCCCCGGACUGCUCUGGAAACUGUAUGGCUGGAGUGUCGGAGAGGCAGGCGGAAUUCCUAGUGUAGCGGUGAAAUGCGUAGAUAUUAGGAGGAACACCAGUGGCGAAGGCAGCAUGCCGGCUCCACACUGACGCUGAGGCACGAAAGCGUGGGUAUCGAACAGG
Molecule: ribosomal RNA, 253 nt
Filed under: uncultured Eubacteriales bacterium
Lineage: Bacteria; Bacillati; Bacillota; Clostridia; Eubacteriales
Description: uncultured Clostridiales bacterium partial 16S ribosomal RNA
Rfam family: Bacterial small subunit ribosomal RNA
Source: RNAcentral